Molecule: long non-coding RNA, 474 nt
Organism: Neltuma alba
Lineage: Eukaryota; Viridiplantae; Streptophyta; Magnoliopsida; Fabales; Fabaceae
Exons: 3
Source: RefSeq, a predicted model, not a curated record
UCCCGCUUUUAACUGAUUGCGGGUUGGCGGUGCCGGUGCCGGUGCAAGAGGAUAUUGCAUUGCACCACUACUUAAUUGCUGCGAUUCCGUGUAUUCUCGGCGCAGUUUAUAGAGGAAAACCCACACACAUUCGCACAGGAUUUCAAUUCUGUUCGCUGCCUUCUAAUCAAUCUCCCGCGUGCCUAUCAAGCUUAAGCAACGCGCGGCGAUGGCGUACAAGUUUUGAGCCUACUCUGGCCCCUUCUUCUUCCACAUUUUCCUAUUUAUACAAGGCUGCUUUUGCUUAUUGAUCUCUACCGAGUUUGGGUCGUCUGGAUAUUUACUCUACACCGGCAGAUUAUUCUUUCGUGCCCAGAUUUGUGUGUCUAUUGCUCUAGCUACGCAAACAUAUGUUGGGUGAGAGGAAAAAAGCUUGUCCUUCAGCUGUUGUUUGAAUGGUGCUUGCUGAUUCAAGGUUAGGAUCACACAGCGUAU